AUUGAACGCUGGCGGCAUGCUUUACACAUGCAAGUCGGACGGCAGCACAGAGAAGCUUGCUUCUUGGGUGGCGAGUGGCGAACGGGUGAGUAAUAUAUCGGAACGUACCGAGUAAUGGGGGAUAUCUAAUCGAAAGAUUAGCUAAUACCGCAUAUUCUCUGAGGAGGAAAGCAGGGGACCUUCGGGCCUUGCGUUAUUCGAGCGGCCGAUAUCUGAUUAGCUAGUUGGUGGGGUAAAGGCCUACCAAGGCGACGAUCAGUAGCGGGUCUGAAAGGAUGAUCCGCCACACUGGGACUGAGACACGGCCCAGACUCCUACGGGAGGCAGCAGUGGGGAAUUUUGGACAAUGGGCGCAAGCCUGAUCCAGCCAUGCCGCGUGUCUGAAGAAGGCCUUCGGGUUGUAAAGGACUUUUGUCAGGGAAGAAAAGGCUGUUGCUAAUACCGACAGCUGAUGACGGUACCUGAAGAAUAAGCACCGGCUAACUACGUG
RNAcentral lists this ribosomal RNA (490 nucleotides) under uncultured bacterium. RNAcentral describes it as "partial 16S ribosomal RNA". It matches the Rfam family "Bacterial small subunit ribosomal RNA", at positions 30 to 507 of the family's 1533-position model. The record is from RNAcentral.